ACAAGUGUACAGAAGCAUUGACUGGGAUGGGCAAAAUGGAAGAUCCGGCUGGCAGCUGGACUCCAUUUCCCAGCAGCCCCUGCCUGUGUUGCUGCAGGCAGUUUCCAUGGAGACUCCAGCAGCAGUGGGACCAUGACAGUGCAGGGUCAGGGUUUCCUUAGAGACUGGCCCCAGCAGCACUAGCAGGGUAUAUGGUUGGUCAGA
This is a long non-coding RNA of Gavialis gangeticus (Gharial), 204 nucleotides long. RefSeq lists it as uncharacterized. The transcript has 3 exons. Lineage: Eukaryota; Metazoa; Chordata; Crocodylia; Gavialidae. The record is from RefSeq and is a predicted model, not a curated record.